Long non-coding RNA from Astyanax mexicanus (Mexican tetra), 1147 nucleotides. RefSeq lists it as uncharacterized. The transcript is spliced from 22 exons. The record is from RefSeq and is a predicted model, not a curated record. NCBI's taxonomy places the organism in Eukaryota, Metazoa, Chordata, Actinopteri, Characiformes, Acestrorhamphidae.
GUAUAAAUGGCGCCGCUGCCCGUUUUCCGGCCUCAUUCAGCUCCGGAUCAGAACGAGCAGGACUAGUUUAACUGGCUGGUUUAUGCUGCUUGAGCUGAUGUGCACAAUCUCUACAGCAUAUCCUUGGAAGUGGUGAAGCGAGAGACAGUAAAAGUUAAUUUGAAGGAUGGUGGACCAGUGGAAUCAAGAGGGGACUUCUGCUGGGAGUGUGAUGAAGUGGUGGGAUGAGGCUGGAUGAAGGGAGAGAAAAUAUUGCGGUGUCAAGCUCUGUAAAGUGUAAAUGGUGGGAAGAUCAUGGAAUCAGUGAAGGAAGAAGCCAGUGUUGGCUGUUUGAAGGCAGUACUACCGGAUUGACUUGCAUCACGUUCAGUUAAUGUGAAUAUUAGAGGCAUGUGUGGAGAACAGCAGUGAUGUGUGGCUUUAAUAAGUAUGUUGCUUUUAAAAGAACAUGGAAUUGCAUGGCUGGAUUCUGCUGGUGGCCGCAAGCAUGGUGGCUGUAUAUUGAGAAUGUUUAAGAGGGAUGUGUCGAGAACAGGAGUGACAUGUGGCUUAAAUGAGAUGAGCAGACCCUGCUGUGUGUUCUGAUGGAUGCUGGAUCAGUGAACUGAAGUGAAAGAGUUUAGGAGAACUCUGGGAGGAAACUGAAGCAGUGGAUGAAGAUGGAUAAAAGUAGCAGGAGCUGUGCUUUCUGGAUCUCCAGUAAAGUGUAUGAAGAUGCGGUGUCUGACGUCUAUACCUGAGGAGGAAGUUGGGCUCUGUUGUUGCAGAUUCUGAUUCGUUCACACCAAUGGUGUCUGAUCAUUGACAGGUGAAGCUGCUGGACUCCUGGAGCUGAACUGAUCUGAUCUGGGGUCAGUUGAAGGAUUCUGGGCGUGACUGAGGGACAGAUGUGCUGGAGUCCAACAUCACCACACUGCUGAUGCUGAGGAAACAGCAUAUUAAAGAGCAUUAAGCAGUGGGAUGAAUCAUUUUUGAGGUGCUGGACAUGUGUGGUCCUCUACUGAAGAUACUGAGAUUGAAAGCAGGAUUGCUGCUGGAACAGGGAGAGCUGGUUCGGAGGCGGAAGCAGCCGUUCUUUUGGGUGUUUUUGUAACUGAUAAUCAAAUGUUUUGCUUUCUUAAUGUAAUAAAGGCCUUUUUUAAGUCAA